ACAUGCAGUCGAGCGGACAGAAGGGAGCUUGCUCCCGGAUGUUAGCGGCGGACGGGUGAGUAACACGUGGGUAACCUGCCUGUAAGACUGGGAUAACUCCGGGAAACCGGAGCUAAUACCGGAUAGUUCCUUGAACCGCAUGGUUCAAGGAUGAAAGACGGUUUCGGCUGUCACUUACAGAUGGACCCGCGGCGCAUUAGCUAGUUGGUGAGGUAACGGCUCACCAAGGCGACGAUGCGUAGCCGACCUGAGAGGGUGAUCGGCCACACUGGGACUGAGACACGGCCCAGACUCCUACGGGAGGCAGCAGUAGGGAAUCUUCCGCAAUGGACGAAAGUCUGACGGAGCAACGCCGCGUGAGUGAUGAAGGUUUUCGGAUCGUAAAGCUCUGUUGUUAGGGAAGAACAAGUGCAAGAGUAACUGCUUGCACCUUGACGGUACCUAACCAGAAAGCCACGGCUAACUACGUGCCAGCAGCCGCGGUAAUACGUAGGUGGCAAGCGUUGUCCGGAAUUAUUGGGCGUAAAGGGCUCGCAGGCGGUUUCUUAAGUCUGAUGUGAAAGCCCCCGGCUCAACCGGGGAGGGUCAUUGGAAACUGGGAAACUUGAGUGCAGAAGAGGAGAGUGGAAUUCCACGUGUAGCGGUGAAAUGCGUAGAGAUGUGGAGGAACACCAGUGGCGAAGGCGACUCUCUGGUCUGUAACUGACGCUGAGGAGCGAAAGCGUGGGGAGCGAACAGGAUUAGAUACCCUGGUAGUCCACGCCGU
Molecule: ribosomal RNA, 766 nt
Filed under: unidentified microorganism
Description: bacterial SSU rRNA
Rfam family: Bacterial small subunit ribosomal RNA
Source: RNAcentral